RNAcentral lists this ribosomal RNA (775 nucleotides) under uncultured Neocallimastigales. RNAcentral describes it as "partial large subunit ribosomal RNA". It matches the Rfam family "Eukaryotic large subunit ribosomal RNA", at positions 23 to 645 of the family's 3401-position model. Lineage: Eukaryota; Fungi; Neocallimastigomycota; Neocallimastigomycetes; Neocallimastigales. The record is from RNAcentral.
AGAGAGAGACAUGCGCGCAUAUCAAUAAGCGGAGGAAAAGAAACUAACAAGGAUUCCCUUAGUAACGGCGAGUGAAGCGGGAAGAGCUCAAAUUUGAAAUCUUCAAGGUUUUACCUUGACGAAUUGUAGUUUAAAGAAGUGUUUUCUGCUGAAGUUUUGGUAAAAGUUCUUUGGAAUAGGACAUCAUAGAGGGUGAGAAUCCCGUAUUUGACCAUUAUUUUCAGCUUUGUGAUACACUUUCAAAGAGUCGGAUUGUUUGGGAAUGCAGUCCAAAAUGGGUGGUAAAUUUCAUCUAAAGCUAAAUAUUGGCGAGAGACCGAUAGCGAACAAGUACCGUGAGGGAAAGAUGAAAAGAACUUUGAAAAGAGAGUUAAACAGUACGUGAAAUUGUCAAAAGGGAAGCGUUUGACACCAGUGUUGUUUUCUCGAAAAUCAAUUAAAAAUGGCUCGAUUUUGUAUUGUUGAGACCUUAAAAGCUCACCGUACAUUUUUCGUGUCUUUUUUAAUGCACUUUUCGUUUAACAAGUCAACUAUCAGUUUCUUUUGUUGUAAAAGGGUCAUUGGAAGGUGGCUUUCUUUUCGGAGAAAGUGUUUAUAGCCUUUGGCCUCUGCAAUCGGAGAGACUGAGGUCUGCAGCGUAGACUCUUCGGGGUUAGAUACAUUUGUGCUAAGUUAUAGCUUUUUAUAGACAACUUGUUGACUAUAAUUAGUCUUGUAGCUUACUCGCUUAUGCUAUUUUACCUACGCUUAGGAUGUUGAAGUCAUCGUAUCGCGC